This 1407-nucleotide ribosomal RNA is filed under the name uncultured Bacteroidota bacterium. RNAcentral describes it as "bacterial SSU rRNA". It matches the Rfam family "Bacterial small subunit ribosomal RNA". The record is from RNAcentral. Lineage: Bacteria; Pseudomonadati; Bacteroidota.
AGAGUUUGAUCCUGGCUCAGGACGAACGCUGGCGGCGGGCUUAACACAUGCAAGUCGAAGGAGAAGGCGAGUGCUUGCACUUGCCGGAGACUGGCGCACGGGUGAGUAACGCGUAGACAACCUGCCUAUAACUGGGGGAUAACAUACCGAAAGGUGUGCUAAUACCGCAUAUUGCCAACGCCUCGCAUGAGGGGUUGGUGAAAGACUUCGGUUGGUUAUAGAUGGGUCUGCGUGCCAUUAGUUAGUUGGUGGGGUAAAAGCCUACCAAGGCGAUGAUGGCUAGGGGGUCUGAGAGGAUGAUCCCCCACACUGGGACUGAGACACGGCCCAGACUCCUACGGGAGGCAGCAGUGAGGAAUCUUGCGCAAUGGGGGUAACCCUGACGCAGCCACGCCGCGUGCCGGAAGACGGCCCUAUGGGUUGUAAACGGCUUUUACAUGGGAAGAAAGUGCAGGUUUCGACCAGCAUUGACGGUACCAUUUGAAUAAGCACCGGCUAACUCCGUGCCAGCAGCCGCGGUAAUACGGAGGGUGCAAGCGUUGUCCGGAAUCAUUGGGUGUAAAGGGUGCGUAGGCUGGCGCCUAAGUCUGAGGUGAAAUCUUGCCGCUUAACGGUAAAAUUGCCUUGGAUACUGGGUGUCUUGAAUCUGACAGAGGUCGGUGGAAUUCGUGGUGUAGCGGUGAAAUGCAUAGAUAUCACGAAGAACAUCAGUGGCGAAGGCGGCCGGCUGGGUCAGUAUUGACGCUGAGGCACGAGAGCGUGGGGAGCGAACAGGAUUAGAUACCCUGGUAGUCCACGCUGUAAACGAUGUAUGCUAGUUGUGGGCCUUUCGGGGUCCGUGACGCAGUUAACGCAGUAAGCAUACCACCUGGGGAGUACGUUCGCAAGAAUGAAACUCAAAGGAAUUGACGGGGGCCCGCACAAGCGGUGGAGCAUGUGGCUUAAUUCGAUGCAACGCGAAGAACCUUACCCGGGCUAAAUCUCCGGCGACCGGUCCCGAAACGGACCUUCCCUUCGGGGCGCCGGCGAAGGUGCUGCAUGGCUGUCGUCAGCUCGUGCCGUGAGGUGUUGCCUUAAGUGGCGCAACGAGCGCAACCCCUGUGGUUAGUUACCAGCACGUAAUGGUGGGGACUCUAGCCAGACUGCCUACGCAAGUAGUGAGGAAGGUGGGGACGACGUCAAGUCAUCAUGGCCCUUAUGUCCGGGGCUGCACACGUGCUACAAUGGAUGGUACAGAGGGAAGCCACCCCGCGAGGGGGUGCAGAUCUCGAAAGCCAUUCCCAGUUCGGAUUGGAGUCUGCAACUCGACUCCAUGAAGGUGGAAUCGCUAGUAAUCGCGUAUCAGCAAUGACGCGGUGAAUACGUUCCCGGGCCUUGUACACACCGCCCGUCAAGCGAUGGAAGUCA